RNAcentral lists this ribosomal RNA (813 nucleotides) under Penicillium viridicatum. RNAcentral describes it as "LSU rRNA". It matches the Rfam family "Eukaryotic large subunit ribosomal RNA", at positions 75 to 906 of the family's 3401-position model. The record is from RNAcentral. Lineage: Eukaryota; Fungi; Ascomycota; Eurotiomycetes; Eurotiales; Aspergillaceae.
UUGCCCCAGUAACGGCGAGUGAAGCGGCAAGAGCUCAAAUUUGAAAGCUGGCUCCUUCGGGGUCCGCAUUGUAAUUUGCAGAGGAUGCUUCGGGAGCGGUCCCCAUCUAAGUGCCCUGGAACGGGACGUCAUAGAGGGUGAGAAUCCCGUAUGGGAUGGGGUGUCCGCGCCCGUGUGAAGCUCCUUCGACGAGUCGAGUUGUUUGGGAAUGCAGCUCUAAAUGGGUGGUAAAUUUCAUCUAAAGCUAAAUAUUGGCCGGAGACCGAUAGCGCACAAGUAGAGUGAUCGAAAGAUGAAAAGCACUUUGAAAAGAGAGUUAAAAAGCACGUGAAAUUGUUGAAAGGGAAGCGCUUGCGACCAGACUCGCUCGCGGGGUUCAGCCGGCAUUCGUGCCGGUGUACUUCCCCGCGGGCGGGCCAGCGUCGGUUUGGGCGGUCGGUCAAAGGCCCUCGGAAGGUAACGCCCCUMGGGGCGUCUUAUAGCCSAGGGUGCMAUGCGACCUGCCURGACCGAGGAACGCGCUUCGGYUCGGACGCUGGCAUAAUGGUYGUAAGCGACCCGUCUUGAAACACGGACCAAGGAGUCUAACAUCUACGCGAGUGUUCGGGUGUCAAACCCGUSCGCGMAGUGAAAGCGAACGGAGGUGGGAACCCUUWYGGGUGCACCAUCGACCGAUCCUGAWGUCUUCGGAUGGAUUUGAGUAAGAGCGUAGCUGUUGGGACCCGAAAGAUGGUGAACUAUGCCUGAAUAGGGCGAAGCCAGAGGAAACUCUGGUGGAGGCUCGYAGCGGUUCUGACGUGCAAAUCGAUCGUC